CGCCUGGGGGCGCGCCCCGGGCGGGGCGGGGGCACGGGGGGAACGCGAAGAACCUUACCUGGUCUUGACAUCCACGGAAGUUUUCAGAGAUGAGAAUGUGCCUUCGGGAACCGUGAGACAGGUGCUGCAUGGCUGUCGUCAGCUCGUGUUGUGAAAUGUUGGGUUAAGUCCCGCAACGAGCGCAACCCUUAUCCUUUGUUGCCAGCGGUCCGGCCGGGAACUCAAAGGAGACUGCCAGUGAUAAACUGGAGGAAGGUGGGGAUGACGUCAAGUCAUCAUGGCCCUUACGACCAGGGCUACACACGUGCUACAAUGGCGCAUACAAAGAGAAGCGACCUCGCGAGAGCAAGCGGACCUCAUAAAGUGCGUCGUAGUCCGGAUUGGAGUCUGCAACUCGACUCCAUGAAGUCGGAAUCGCUAGUAAUCGUGGAUCAGAAUGCCACGGUGAAUACGUUCCCGGGCCUUGUACACACCGCCCGUCACACCAUGGGAGUGGGUUGCAAAAGAAGUAGGUAGCUUAACCUUCGGGAGGGCGCUAC
RNAcentral lists this ribosomal RNA (539 nucleotides) under Escherichia fergusonii. RNAcentral describes it as "bacterial SSU rRNA". It matches the Rfam family "Bacterial small subunit ribosomal RNA", at positions 914 to 1457 of the family's 1533-position model. The record is from RNAcentral. Lineage: Bacteria; Pseudomonadati; Pseudomonadota; Gammaproteobacteria; Enterobacterales; Enterobacteriaceae.